This 244-nucleotide long non-coding RNA is filed under the name Vigna radiata. RNAcentral describes it as "long non-coding RNA (VRAD_LNC017068)". The record is from RNAcentral. Lineage: Eukaryota; Viridiplantae; Streptophyta; Magnoliopsida; Fabales; Fabaceae.
AAAACUGUAUAUCAUGUUAAAAAGAAUCUUAACAACAUAUUGUUAUUAUUAAAUAAAUUUACAAGAGUCUCAUUAAUAAAAUACCAAUACUCCAUCACUUAAAGAAGACCCAUAUGCAAUGAGUGUUUUGACCAACAUUAUGUUAUAAAAACUGUGGCGUCCCAAUUAUAUAGAAAAGAAAUAUAUAAAUAAGACGUCAUCAUACAUAAUAUUUGAAAACAGUUAGAGAAUGAUGGAGGUGUUU